AACGAACGCUGGCGGCAGGCCUAACACAUGCAAGUCGAACGCCCCGCAAGGGGAGUGGCGCACGGGUGAGUAACGCGUGGGAAUGUACCUUUUAGUUUGGGAUAACAGCGGGAAACUGCUGCUAAUACCGAAUACGCCCUUAGGGGGAAAGAUUUAUCGCUAAAAGAUCAGCCCGCGUCAGAUUAGCUAGUUGGUGGGGUAAUGGCCUACCAAGGCUCCGAUCUGUAGCUGUUCUGAGAGGAAGAUCAGCCACACUGGAACUGAGACACGGUCCAGACUCCUGCGGGAGGCAGCAGUGGGGAAUAUUGGACAAUGGGGGAAACCCUGAUCCAGCCAUGCCGCGUGAGUGAUGAAGGCCUUAGGGUUGUAAAGCUCUUUUAGCAGGGAAGAUGAUGACGGUACCUGCAGAAUAAGCACCGGCUAACUUCGUGCCAGCCGCCGCAGUAA
RNAcentral lists this ribosomal RNA (447 nucleotides) under uncultured bacterium. RNAcentral describes it as "partial 16S ribosomal RNA". It matches the Rfam family "Bacterial small subunit ribosomal RNA", at positions 29 to 523 of the family's 1533-position model. The record is from RNAcentral.